Molecule: transfer RNA, 74 nt
Filed under: bacterium
Lineage: Bacteria
Also listed under: 4 other names
Description: tRNA-Met
Rfam family: tRNA
About the family: Transfer RNA (tRNA) molecules are approximately 80 nucleotides in length.
Source: RNAcentral
UGCGGGGUGGAGCAGCCCGGUAGCUCGCGAGGCUCAUAACCUCGAGGUCGCAGGUUCAAAUCCUGUCCCCGCAA